AGAGAAUUUAGCAGAGAUGCUUUAGUGCCUUCGGGAACUCUGAGACAGGUGCUGCAUGGCUGUCGUCAGCUCGUGUUGUGAAAUGUUGGGUUAAGUCCCGNAACGAGCGCAACCCUUAUCCUUUGUUGCCAGCACGUAAUGGUGGGAAACUCAAAGGAGACUGCCGGUGAUAAACCGGAGGAAGGUGGGGAUGACGUCAAGUCAUCAUGGCCCUUACGAGUAGGGCUACACACGUGCUACAAUGGCGCAUACAAAGAGAAGCGACCUCGCGAGAGCAAGCGGACCUCAUAAAGUGCGUCGUAGUCCGGAUUGGAGUCUGCAACUCGACUCCAUGAAGUCGGAAUCGCUAGUAAUCGUAAAUCAGAAUGUUACGGUGAAUACGUUCCCGGGCCUUGUACACACCGCCCGUCACACCAUGGGAGUGGGUUGCAAAAGAAGUAGAUAGCUUAACCUUCGGGAGGGCGUUUACCACUUUGUGAUUCAUGACUGGGGUGAAGUCGUAACAAGGUAAGCGUAGUGCU
This 521-nucleotide ribosomal RNA is filed under the name uncultured bacterium. RNAcentral describes it as "bacterial SSU rRNA". It matches the Rfam family "Bacterial small subunit ribosomal RNA", at positions 990 to 1509 of the family's 1533-position model. The record is from RNAcentral.